Long non-coding RNA from Apodemus sylvaticus (European woodmouse), 1137 nucleotides. RefSeq lists it as uncharacterized. NCBI's taxonomy places the organism in Eukaryota, Metazoa, Chordata, Mammalia, Rodentia, Muridae. The record is from RefSeq and is a predicted model, not a curated record. The transcript is spliced from 2 exons.
UUUUGCGACCUUUCAGAAGUUCUUUUUCUUCCCUGAUUUGCAUGCUUUGUGAGUCUUGGUUUUUAUUUGAAUUCAGCUUUCAUAUCUCCGGAGACAUGAUUAGAACAACAUCUCACAAAGCCCCAGCAACAUAUUAAGCCAGCAGUCCUGCUCUUGUGGUUCAACAGAGUCUUCGAAGAGAUUCUGCACGCCUUCUACCAGGAGGGCGGCCAGGGACACUUCAGUAUGAACCCGUGGACAAGAUGACCAGGGCUUGCAGUUGACCUUCUUAAAGGCCACAAAGACCGGUAGCCAUGGACUCAGCAAAUAGACUCCACGAGGCAACAUCUCUACGAAAUAUGAAAAACAAUGUUCUGAAAUGUCCUGCAAGAACGCACGCGGACACCAGGAUCCCUCUGCAGCAAAGCCUUUAUUGCAAUCUUGAAGAGGAAGACCACAAGCCCCAAAAGGGCGCUGCUUAUAUACCCCUUGGCGUGGCGUGUACACGCCUGAUUGGCUGUUCACUCAUCACCCCAUAUCUACGCCCCAGGAUGGGCAGAGACUAGGCGUGGUUUUUGCUCUUGCACAUGCGUACCUGACUUGUUUACCAAUGUAAUGGCGAAUACUGUCACGGCUCUCCACAAUUUGCGAAACACGUUCCUUUGUUGUAGGCUCUAGACUUUGCAAGGAGCAAAUGUCUCUGCAGUAGAAUGCAGAGACAUCAGUUUUGUUCUCAGUCUGUGCUGCACUAACAGCUAAAAAUGAAAUGAAUUCAAACCCAGGGUCUCUCUGCUGUGAUGUGGAUGUUCUACACACACACACACACACACACAGAGAGAGAGAGAGAGAGAGAGAGAGAGAGAGAGAGAGAGAGAGAGAGAGAAAGAGAGGAUACCCAAGGCAGUAGCAGUCAGGAGACACACAUCCUUCUCCUACAAAUGGAUCAGCUCCUAUGAAAACAGGCUAGACCUGGGCCAUCCUCAUCUCUUCCUCUCAGAGACAUCCUACUGCUAAGCUCUGUGUACUCCCACCACAGGAAGCGCUUCACUAUGUUAUACCACAGCAGGGAGCUCUUUCUUGAUGUAUGUAGCUACCCAUGUUUGUGCUUUUCUGCUUCUAGAACAUGAGCUUAAAUAAAUGAUUUUAUGUUAUAAAUUA